This 429-nucleotide ribosomal RNA is filed under the name uncultured bacterium. RNAcentral describes it as "bacterial SSU rRNA". It matches the Rfam family "Bacterial small subunit ribosomal RNA", at positions 355 to 776 of the family's 1533-position model. The record is from RNAcentral.
UAGGGAAUAUUGCACAAUGGGGGAAACCCUGAUGCAGCGACGCCGCGUGAGUGAUGAAGGCCUUCGGGUCGUAAAGCUCUGUUGUACGGGAAGAAAUGUUCAUGGCUAACAUCCAUGAGCUUUGACGGUACCGUAUAAGAAAGGACCGGCUAACUUCGUGCCAGCAGCCGCGGUAAGACGAGGGGUCCUAGCGUUGUUCGGAAUCACUGGGCGUAAAGCGUAUGUAGGCGGCCUGUUAAGUCAGUUGUGAAAUCCCAUGGCUCAACCAUGGAAUUGCAAUUGAAACUGGCGGGCUUGAAUGCAGGAGAGGUUGGUAGAAUACCUGGUGUAGUGGUGAAAUACGUAGAUAUCAGGUGGAAUACCGGUGGCGAAGGCGGCCAACUGGCCUAGCAUUGACGCUGAGAUACGAAAGCGUGGGGAUCAAACAGG